RNAcentral lists this ribosomal RNA (234 nucleotides) under uncultured Glomus. RNAcentral describes it as "partial 18S ribosomal RNA". It matches the Rfam family "Eukaryotic small subunit ribosomal RNA", at positions 548 to 785 of the family's 1831-position model. Lineage: Eukaryota; Fungi; Glomeromycota; Glomeromycetes; Glomerales; Glomeraceae. The record is from RNAcentral.
UUGGAGGGCAAGUCUGGUGCCAGCAGCCGCGGUAAUUCCAGCUCCAAUAGCGUAUAUUAAAGUUGUUGCAGUUAAAAAGCUCGUAGUUGAACUUCAGGCUUGGCGGGGUGGUCUGCCUAACGGUAUGUACUAUCCGGCUGAGCCUUACCUCCUGGUGAGCCUGCAUGUCGUUUAUUCGGUGUGUAGGGGAACCAGGAAUUUUACUUUGAAAAAAUUAGAGUGUUUAAAGCAGGC